This 253-nucleotide ribosomal RNA is filed under the name uncultured bacterium. RNAcentral's name for it is "partial 16S ribosomal RNA". It matches the Rfam family "Bacterial small subunit ribosomal RNA", at positions 524 to 776 of the family's 1533-position model. The record is from RNAcentral.
UACGUAGGGUGCGAGCGUGGUCCGGAAUUAUUGGGCGUAAAGGGCUCGUAGGCGGUUUGUCGCGUCGGGAGUGAAAACCCAGGGCUUAACCCUGGGCUGGCUUCCGAUACGGGCAGACUAGAGGUAUGCAGGGGAGAACGGAAUUCCUGGUGUAGCGGUGAAAUGCGCAGAUAUCAGGAGGAACACCGGUGGCGAAGGCGGCUUGCUGGGCCAGUUCUGACGCUGAGGAGCGAAAGCGUGGUGAGCGAACAGG